GGGGAUUUAGCUCAGUGGCACAGCACCUGCCUGGCAAGCAUGAGGUCCUGAGUUUGAUCCCCA
Molecule: transfer RNA, 63 nt
Filed under: Heterocephalus glaber (naked mole-rat)
Lineage: Eukaryota; Metazoa; Chordata; Mammalia; Rodentia; Bathyergidae
Rfam family: tRNA
About the family: Transfer RNA (tRNA) molecules are approximately 80 nucleotides in length. Their secondary structure includes four short double-helical elements and three loops (D, anti-codon, and T loops).
Source: Rfam by way of RNAcentral